CAAUAGCGAAUAUUAAAGUUGUUGCAGUUAAAAAGCUCGUAGUUGAAUUUCGGGCGGCCGUGGUCGGCCCUUCAUUGGGCCGGCGCGUUCGCCCUCCCCGCCUUUGGCGGCCUUUACUGUGAAAAAAUUAGAGUGUUCAAAGCAAGCACACGCUUGAAUACAUUAGCAUGGAAUGAUGAGAUAGGAUCUAGACUAUUUUGUUGGUUGCGGUCAUAGAUAAUGAUUAACAGGGACAGUUGGGGGUGUCCGUAUUGAGCUGUCAGAGGUGAAAUUCUUGGAUUUGCUCAAGACGAACUACUGCGAAAGCAUUCACCAAGGAUGUUUUCAUUAA
This 331-nucleotide ribosomal RNA is filed under the name uncultured eukaryote. Its description in RNAcentral is "partial 18S ribosomal RNA". It matches the Rfam family "Eukaryotic small subunit ribosomal RNA", at positions 592 to 976 of the family's 1831-position model. The record is from RNAcentral.